This 270-nucleotide long non-coding RNA is filed under the name Lathyrus oleraceus (garden pea). Its description in RNAcentral is "Pisum sativum (pea) long non-coding RNA (PSAT_LNC014615)". Lineage: Eukaryota; Viridiplantae; Streptophyta; Magnoliopsida; Fabales; Fabaceae. The record is from RNAcentral.
AGGUGAUAAACUUCUUUCAAAAUAUCUUCACGUCUGGCACUUAGUGGCGUAUACUUAACAUAUUUGUCAAGCGGUCAUCGGGAUGGUCUCAUCAUGGUACGAUCUUUAGGUCUAGGCUUAAGGUACUCCCUCUUAUGCCAACUCCUUAUUCUUUAGAUUGCAUUUUUUCCUUGGCGUCCCAAGACCUCUUUUCCAUGUUUAUUUCCUCCCUUUUGAUAUAACAUUUUUCUAUAGUAAUAACCUCAUCCAUGCUGGAUGCCGACUUUUGUG